AAAUCUCCUCCAUUCCCCCAAAUCCAUCCAUCAUGGAGUUCCCUCAUCGCCACCACCACCACGGCCACCGCGGCGACGACGACGACGACGAUCGCCGCCGCCAUCCCGCUCCCGCUCCCGCCUACGGCCACGACUCAGCCCCUCCGCCGGGUCCCUACGGCCAAGCGCCUCCUCCGGCUGAUCCCUACGCUCGCCACCCGCCUUCCCACGACUACGCUCAUCCUCCUCCGGCGUAUGGGGGAGGGGGCUACGGCAACGUCGUCCACGUUUCCCACGAGGUCUCCGACCACCAGAGGCCCACGCCGCACUACG
This 312-nucleotide long non-coding RNA is filed under the name Oryza sativa (Asian cultivated rice). RNAcentral's name for it is "long non-coding RNA (OSAT_LNC001468)". The record is from RNAcentral. Lineage: Eukaryota; Viridiplantae; Streptophyta; Magnoliopsida; Poales; Poaceae.